AGAACAUCAUGGUUUCUACCCUCUGAAUGUAAGUGGAAUGCCGCCCAGGCUCAAAAAGAUCAAACAGACUUAGUGACUAGUAGCUUCCUUGUGCGACCACUGGCUAUUAUGGGCUCUGGCUUAGUUGAUCAGUCGUGGAAACCUUACCCGGAUGUGCCAGCUGAUUUAGCUAUGAUAGGUGGGAUGGGCCUCCUGUGGGACUAG
RNAcentral lists this long non-coding RNA (204 nucleotides) under Hordeum vulgare. RNAcentral describes it as "long non-coding RNA (HVUL_LNC001832)". Lineage: Eukaryota; Viridiplantae; Streptophyta; Magnoliopsida; Poales; Poaceae. The record is from RNAcentral.